This 477-nucleotide ribosomal RNA is filed under the name uncultured bacterium. RNAcentral's name for it is "bacterial SSU rRNA". It matches the Rfam family "Bacterial small subunit ribosomal RNA", at positions 43 to 507 of the family's 1533-position model. The record is from RNAcentral.
CAGGCCUAACACAUGCAAGUCGAGCGGUAACAGAAAGAAAGCUUGCUUUCUUUGCUGACGAGCGGCGGACGGGUGAGUAAUGCCUGGGAAUAUGCCUUAGUGUGGGGGAUAACUAUUGGAAACGAUAGCUAAUACCGCAUAACGUCUUCGGACCAAAGAGGGGGACCUUCGGGCCUCUCGCGCUAAGAUUAGCCCAGGUGGGAUUAGCUAGUUGGUGAGGUAAAGGCUCACCAAGGCAACGAUCCCUAGCUGGUCUGAGAGGAUGAUCAGCCACUCUGGAACUGAGACACGGUCCAGACUCCUACGGGAGGCAGCAGUGGGGAAUAUUGCACAAUGGGGGAAACCCUGAUGCAGCCAUGCCGCGUGUAUGAAGAAGGCCUUCGGGUUGUAAAGUACUUUCAGUCGUGAGGAAGGCAUUGUAGUUAAUAGCUGCAGUGCUUGACGUUAGCGACAGAAGAAGCACCGGCUAACUCCGUG